UGAGGCCAUUCCCUCUAGUCCUAUCACUGGUUACCUGUGAGAAGAGGCCGACCCCCAGCUCCCCACUCCUUCCUUUCAGGAAUGCAGUGCAAUGGCAGAACAUUGUCCUCUUGUUUCCAUUUGCCUUUUUCUCUAACAGUGCAAAACCACCCGUUUCCUUAGUAUUUAUCUAGGAAAUAAUUCUUUGUAAAACCUCCAUCAACUUCCCUUGUGGUCUCCACAGAGCUGUGGAUGCUAUAAACUAUGUUAACCAAAUUCUACUAUUUCAUUAUUUAGCUGUGUAUUAACCCAGAAGCCACAGAAAAGAAGGCCAAAGUAGGCCCUGGGGGCUGACCUAGUGCAUCUCGAGGUGAGAUGACCUGUACUUAUGUCACUCCUGGCAGGUAUUUCCCCAACCUAGCCUGAAAGGAGACUUUGAGCCCUCGAGUCCUCGCUAUAUGGGGAGUGCCAGCAGGGAAGGGUUGGGGCUGUCUGUGUAGAGCUCUGUGGUGUGCUGACAAAUGCACUCAUUUCCCCUUCCUCUGGGCCACCAGCCCCUGCAGCCCAGGUGUAGCUAAGACAUGCAAUAGCUCAGUCGCCUGAUGGUUUUUGCACUGUUUUUUUGCAUUGGGCAUUGUACUGGGAUGUGGUGCCACUGGGCUUAUGCUUCCCCACCCACCCCACUUUUUGUAUCGAGGCUUACAAAUGAAAAACUGCUUUUGACAAAGCGUUGUCUCUAACUAUGUCCCUGCCUUUUUCAUUUGGGCUGUGGAAAGAGAUCCCACCUGGGCUGGGCUGGGCUCAUCUCCUCCCCGGCAGAUGCUCCUCUCCUGUUGUCUGCCAUUUAAAAAUCUUGGCAAGCGUUUCUUUGAGGAGUCAAAUAAUAAAGCUGCUUCGGUCUCUCCCUGUGAUAGCAGUUCCUUUUUAUGCAAAGUUUUCAAAAGGUUCACUUCUCUUUUUCUACAGUGUGGUUUACCCUAAAACCUGGUUGAUCUCCGAGAGCUCCUUUCAGCAAGCCACAGACAGCUCUUGCAAGCCUGCAAAAGCCUCCUACUUGUUUUCUGAGGCACAAUGCAACUCAUUCUGUUAAAAGAAAAAAAGAGGAUACGUGGAGGCUGCUUUGCCAGAGUCCACCAAAAGGGACCUGACCCCACGGACAGGAGCUGACAGCACAGUGAACUAGCAAAUAAGUGCUCUGAUUGUAAUGCUCAUGAGGAAGGUAAAUCCCAGAGAAGCGUAUGAGGAGUGAAUGCUGAUUUGUGAAGGGGAUACGCACACAGAAAACCCAGGGCCAGUGAUCACUCUGCUCUACCCAGAAAUUGUGAAUGCCUCCAUGUAAACAUCAUAGAUGCACAGCACUCCUAUUUACUGAGGAGGGAGAAGGUUUGGAGCUGCCACCAUCAAGCACCUCCUCUUCUGAUAUCUCGUCAUGAGACUGCUUUUUCAGCUCACAUUGCUGGGAAACACCAGUUCGUCUGUUAAGUGCCUAACACAGGAAAAAUGAAGUAUAAAAUCAUCACAGAGAGGACUGGGAGCAGAAGGUUCCUUGGUAAGAGUUGUUUUUUCAUGAAGAUAUGUUGAAUGCGUUGGCGAGGUGCAACGGAAGGGGCAGGACAUCCAGCCAGGGCUGUUGGGGAGGAUGAGGCAGGGCUGAUGUAGGGCUACCUAAACAUCUGCUGCCAUUCAACUGUGCCAUUAGGCACACAUUUUUCUGACCUGAGGCCAACAUGAUGAACAUACCUGUAAGGACACUGUGGAGGUAUAUGGAUGUCCUUCUUUCCUUCCUCAUUUCAGUGUUGUUAAACACAAAGCAAGCACAGAUUUGUUUUCAGUGUUAAGAUAGUGUCAAGAGAAAUGUAAAGAACAUGCCCUCCUCCAGUGGUCAUUUAAGUUGGCACUGAAAAAACAUCCGGAG
Molecule: long non-coding RNA, 1894 nt
Organism: Cygnus olor (mute swan)
Lineage: Eukaryota; Metazoa; Chordata; Aves; Anseriformes; Anatidae
Exons: 6
Source: RefSeq, a predicted model, not a curated record